Molecule: ribosomal RNA, 563 nt
Filed under: uncultured bacterium
Lineage: Bacteria
Description: partial 16S ribosomal RNA
Rfam family: Bacterial small subunit ribosomal RNA
Source: RNAcentral
UGGGGAAUAUUGGACAAUGGGCGCAAGCCUGAUCCAGCCAUGCCGCGUGAGUGAUGAAGGCCUUAGGGUUGUAAAGCUCUUUCGACGGGGACGAUAAUGACGGUACCCGUAGAAGAAGCCCCGGCUAACUUCGUGCCAGCAGCCGCGGUAAUACGAAGGGGGCUAGCGUUGCUCGGAAUCACUGGGCGUAAAGGGCGCGUAGGCGGACAUUUAAGUCAGAGGUGAAAGCCCAGGGCUCAACCCUGGAACAGCCUUUGAUACUGGGUGUCUCGAGACCGGAAGAGGUUGGUGGAACUGCGAGUGUAGAGGUGAAAUUCGUAGAUAUUCGCAAGAACACCGGUGGCGAAGGCGGCCAACUGGUCCGGUUCUGACGCUGAGGCGCGAAAAGCGUGGGGAGCAAACAGGAUUAGAUACCCUGGUAGUCCACGCCGUAAAACGAUGGAUGCUAGCCGUUGGCGGGUUUACCCGUCAGUGGCGCAGCUAACGCGUUAAGCAUCCCGCCUGGGGAGUACGGUCGCAAGAUUAAAAACUCAAAUGAAUUGACGGGGUCAUAGCUGUUUCCU